RNAcentral lists this transfer RNA (76 nucleotides) under Escherichia coli. Its description in RNAcentral is "tRNA-Val from Escherichia coli (PDB 9B4Z, chain AW)". It matches the Rfam family "tRNA". From Rfam's summary of the family: Transfer RNA (tRNA) molecules are approximately 80 nucleotides in length. Their secondary structure includes four short double-helical elements and three loops (D, anti-codon, and T loops). Further hydrogen bonds mediate the characteristic L-shaped molecular structure. tRNAs have two regions of fundamental functional importance: the anti-codon, which is responsible for specific mRNA codon recognition, and the 3' end, to which the tRNAs corresponding amino acid is attached (by aminoacyl-tRNA synthetases). tRNAs cope with the degeneracy of the genetic code in two manners: having more than one tRNA (with a specific anti-codon) for a particular amino acid; and 'wobble' base-pairing, i.e. permitting non-standard base-pairing at the 3rd anti-codon position. Lineage: Bacteria; Pseudomonadati; Pseudomonadota; Gammaproteobacteria; Enterobacterales; Enterobacteriaceae. The record is from RNAcentral. RNAcentral also lists the same sequence under 2 other names.
GGGUGAUUAGCUCAGCUGGGAGAGCACCUCCCUCACAAGGAGGGGGUCGGCGGUUCGAUCCCGUCAUCACCCACCA